CACUUAACAUUAUGCAUAAUGUAAAGAGGACGCUCUUGAAAUAUCGCUCUAUUUACGUUUCGGCUACAUAUGACCGUCAGAAAAAACAUAUAUAUUACUUUAAUCAGUUCAAUACUGGACGAUGAUUCAUGGGGUGUAAUCGAUGAUAAAGCUGCUGACACAGUUGAAAUUU
Molecule: long non-coding RNA, 172 nt
Organism: Coccinella septempunctata (seven-spotted ladybird)
Lineage: Eukaryota; Metazoa; Arthropoda; Insecta; Coleoptera; Coccinellidae
Exons: 2
Source: RefSeq, a predicted model, not a curated record